UUACAAACCCUUACUUCUGCUGAGACUCUUGGGUUUGGUCCAGUCGAAUUGAGGGGACUCAAACUGGAACUGCGGUGGGUGGCUUCUAAUAUUGCUGUGGAUGAAGGCACACUCUACACAUAACUGAAGGCCUGCAUUUUUAGAAGGACUGAAGGACAAAGAGUUUAAGAUAACAUCUCUACUCCUGUGAUGUUACUCCUCCCUAACCUUGACUGUGCAGCAUUGAAGGCAAGAUAAAAACUUCAUGGCAUGAAAGGAAAGAAAGCUUAUUGUCCCAACAGUGGCCUGGGACUGAAAUUGCCAACUGAACAACUGUGGACAAGUCAUCUCAUUUUCACUUUGCCUGUUUCCUCCUUUUGAAAAGGCUUUGAAACAAGACCCCGGUGUCACAAAAUAUUUAAGGGUAAGAAGUAACAUGUUAUCACACAUUAAUAUAAAAGCAGGUUGUGUGGUUUUGUCUGCAUUUAAUUUAAUACACA
RNAcentral lists this long non-coding RNA (479 nucleotides) under Zonotrichia albicollis (white-throated sparrow). RNAcentral describes it as "lncRNA (ENSZALG00000016711.1)". The record is from RNAcentral. Lineage: Eukaryota; Metazoa; Chordata; Aves; Passeriformes; Passerellidae.